RNAcentral lists this ribosomal RNA (273 nucleotides) under uncultured bacterium. Its description in RNAcentral is "partial 16S ribosomal RNA". It matches the Rfam family "Bacterial small subunit ribosomal RNA", at positions 524 to 796 of the family's 1533-position model. The record is from RNAcentral.
UACGUAGGGACCAAGCGUUGUUCGGAUUUACUGGGCGUAAAGGGCGCGUAGGCGGCAUGACAAGUCACUUGUGAAAUCUCUGGGCUUAACUCAGAACGGCCAAGUGAUACUGUCGCGCUAGAGUGCGGAAGGGGCAAUCGGAAUUCUCGGUGUAGCGGUGAAAUGCGUAGAUAUCGAGAGGAACACCUGAGGUGAAGACGGGUUGCUGGGCCGACACUGACGCUGAGGCGCGAAAGCCAGGGGAGCAAACGGGAUUAGAAACCCCAGUAGUCC